Molecule: long non-coding RNA, 1016 nt
Filed under: Helianthus annuus (common sunflower)
Lineage: Eukaryota; Viridiplantae; Streptophyta; Magnoliopsida; Asterales; Asteraceae
Description: hypothetical non coding rna
Source: RNAcentral
UUCAAUUCAUCUGCAUUCCCUCAGAACUCAUCUGCAUCCCAUUCAAUUAAACCUCCUUCAAUCAAUUACCCUCCAACUACCGCCUUCAUCAAUCAAUCAGCAACAAAACAGAAUAAUUACACCCCCUAAUCGGAAUUACUAGCACCAUUCGAUCCCCAACUACCAUUAAACCUUUACAUCUCAACAACAAAACAAAAUCACCCAUCUCUGCUGUUGCUCGUUGUUGCCGGAGAGAGAAUCAUCUGUAAAAGUUGCUAAUUGUAUGCCAUGCUUAAAUUGUAUUUCGCUAUGUGCCUAACUUGAGAAGUUGAUAUAUAUAAAACUACAAGAGGAAGAAUACAAGUAGAAGACAUAAAGUUAUGCAUGAAGAGUUCUUGAAGAAGAAAUACUUGACCCAUAUGUUGGGAAUAUAUAGAGAUAAGUUUCUCUACAUGAUUCAACUACAAUUCUAUUCUUAAUUUCCAAAAGGUCUAACACUAUGUUUUUAUCCGGUGUAACCUCGGGCGCGUGGCCUUCUCCGGCAGUACAAACUGCUUCGGCUGUUGUACCCUGGGAGACAGACGCGUCGUCUUUAGUAGAGGCGCGAAAUCUGUUUUAAGGGAAGCGUGUUGAACACGUGCCUCAGCCACAACCGUCAACAUCAGUUUGUUCAUCUUUGCAGCCAAGAAGGAUCUCACAAGGAGACGCGGUUCAAGUUCUCGUGGCAGAAAUUAUACAAGAAGACGCUUCUCAAGCUCUUGUCAAAGACAACGAUUUGAAUCGAAUUAUUUAAAUAUGUUGUAUUUCAUAUUUAAUUUUGUAUGGAUUUGUACACGGUACGGGUACUACAAUUUCCCAAAUAAUAUGUAAAGAGGGUAUCUUUACAAUUUUAUAUUUAUUUAUAUAUUUUUAUUAUAAUUGUGACCCAUUUCCUACAAACUUAAAACAGAUUUCGUGAGAUUGUGGCUACAAUCUUAAAACCUUAUUUAUAAGGAUUUUGGGUUCACGAAAAAAUUUAUAAUAAAAAAAAAUAGUUU